This 714-nucleotide ribosomal RNA is filed under the name uncultured Staphylococcus sp. RNAcentral describes it as "bacterial SSU rRNA". It matches the Rfam family "Bacterial small subunit ribosomal RNA", at positions 58 to 754 of the family's 1533-position model. Lineage: Bacteria; Bacillati; Bacillota; Bacilli; Caryophanales; Staphylococcaceae. The record is from RNAcentral.
CAAGUCGAGCGAACGGACGAGAAGCUUGCUUCUCUGAUGUUAGCGGCGGACGGGUGAGUAACACGUGGAUAACCUACCUAUAAGACUGGGAUAACUUCGGGAAACCGGAGCUAAUACCGGAUAAUAUUUUGAACCGCAUGGUUCAAAAGUGAAAGACGGUCUUGCUGUCACUUAUAGAUGGAUCCGCGCUGCAUUAGCUAGUUGGUAAGGUAACGGCUUACCAAGGCAACGAUGCAUAGCCGACCUGAGAGGGUGAUCGGCCACACUGGAACUGAGACACGGUCCAGACUCCUACGGGAGGCAGCAGUAGGGAAUCUUCCGCAAUGGGCGAAAGCCUGACGGAGCAACGCCGCGUGAGUGAUGAAGGUCUUCGGAUCGUAAAACUCUGUUAUUAGGGAAGAACAUAUGUGUAAGUAACUGUGCACAUCUUGACGGUACCUAAUCAGAAAGCCACGGCUAACUACGUGCCAGCAGCCGCGGUAAUACGUAGGUGGCAAGCGUUAUCCGGAAUUAUUGGGCGUAAAGCGCGCGUAGGCGGUUUUUUAAGUCUGAUGUGAAAGCCCACGGCUCAACCGUGGAGGGUCAUUGGAAACUGGAAAACUUGAGUGCAGAAGAGGAAAGUGGAAUUCCAUGUGUAGCGGUGAAAUGCGCAGAGAUAUGGAGGAACACCAGUGGCGAAGGCGACUUUCUGGUCUGUAACUGACGCUGAUGUGC